Molecule: microRNA precursor, 58 nt
Organism: Oncorhynchus kisutch (coho salmon)
Lineage: Eukaryota; Metazoa; Chordata; Actinopteri; Salmoniformes; Salmonidae
Source: Ensembl
GACUUGGUCAAAGCUCCUCAGUGAUGAGUAGAAACCUGAGAAGUUUGGAACAAGUAAA